AUCCAGCUGACGAGUCCAAAACAAGACGAAACGCGCGUCCUGGAU
RNAcentral lists this non-coding RNA (45 nucleotides) under Schistosoma margrebowiei. The record is from RNAcentral. Lineage: Eukaryota; Metazoa; Platyhelminthes; Trematoda; Strigeidida; Schistosomatidae.